This 254-nucleotide ribosomal RNA is filed under the name uncultured bacterium. Its description in RNAcentral is "partial 16S ribosomal RNA". It matches the Rfam family "Bacterial small subunit ribosomal RNA", at positions 524 to 776 of the family's 1533-position model. The record is from RNAcentral.
UACGAAGGGGGCUAGCGUUGCUCGGAAUUAUUGGGCGUAAAGCGCACGUAGGCGGUUCGUUAAGUCGGAUGUGAAAGCCCUCGGCUCAACUGAGGAAGUGCACCCGAAACUGGCGAGCUUGAGUACGAAAGAGGAUCGCGGAAUUCCCGGUGUAGAGGUGAAAUUCGUAGAUAUCAGGAGGAACACCGGUGGCGAAGGCGGGUCUCUGGGCAGUAACUGACGCUGGAGGAGCGAAAGCGUGGGGAGCGAACAGG